AGAGUUUGAUUAUGGCUCAGAACGAACGCUGGUGGCGUGUCUUAUACAUGCAAGUCGAGCGAGGCAGCAAUGCCGAGCGGCGAACGGGUGGGUAACGCGUAAGCAAUCUGCCCCAUAUCAGGAAAUACCCGUGCCAACGCGCGGUUAAUGUCCAGGAGAGUGGCCCUCCGCAUGGAGGGUUGACUAGAGAUUUAUCGGUAUGGGAUGAGCUUGCGUCCGAUUAGCUAGUUGGCGGGGCAACGGCCCACCAAGGCGACGAUCGGUAGCCGGCCUGAGAGGGUGAUCGGCCACAUUGGGACUGAGAUACGGCCCAGACUCCUACGGGAGGCAGCAGUAGGGAAUAUUGCACAAUGGGGGAAACCCUGAUGCAGCAACGCCACGUGUGGGAAGAAGCAUUUCGGUGUGUAAACCACUGUCAUGAGGGAAUAAGGCCCUUAUCCGUAAGGGAUUGAAUGUACCUUGAGAGGAAGCACCGGCAAACUUCGUGCCAGCCGCAGC
This 498-nucleotide ribosomal RNA is filed under the name uncultured bacterium. RNAcentral describes it as "bacterial SSU rRNA". It matches the Rfam family "Bacterial small subunit ribosomal RNA", at positions 8 to 518 of the family's 1533-position model. The record is from RNAcentral.